UUUUUUUUUUUUUUUUUCCCCUCCAUCCCUCUCGCUAUGGUAUAUUUUUACCCACUGACAGACUCUCAGGGGAAUAAACAGACCGUACUGUGUUUUAAAUGCUCGGCGGUGCCGUGAGUGACUCACAAGGAUGAGGAUGCUGGCUCCCCCUGCUGAGGGAAAAGGAAAAAAGCUUCCGAGUUGGCCUGCUACCUCUGUUUAACUUGCAACUUCCUGGAGAUUGCCAAGUUUUAGUAAACUCAAACUAUAUGACUGUAUUAAGUUAUAUUAAAAUUAUUGCUACUAUUUUAUACUGCACCUCAACACCCUUACUGAAGUUAAGAUGU
Dromaius novaehollandiae (emu) is the source of this 326-nucleotide long non-coding RNA. RefSeq lists it as uncharacterized. The record is from RefSeq and is a predicted model, not a curated record. The transcript is spliced from 2 exons. Lineage: Eukaryota; Metazoa; Chordata; Aves; Casuariiformes; Dromaiidae.